RNAcentral lists this microRNA precursor (72 nucleotides) under Tursiops truncatus (common bottlenose dolphin). RNAcentral's name for it is "miRNA (ENSTTRG00000025327.1)". The record is from RNAcentral. Lineage: Eukaryota; Metazoa; Chordata; Mammalia; Artiodactyla; Delphinidae.
UUGGCCAAAAAGUUCGUUUGGGUUUUUCCAUAACAUUGUAUGGAAGAACCCAAACAAACUUUUUGGGCUACC